CACGUAGGCGGAUCAGAAAGUCAGAGGUGAAAUCCCAGGGCUCAACCUUGGAACUGCCUUUGAAACUCCUGAUCUUGAGGUCGAGAGAGGUGAGUGGAAUUCCGAGUGUAGAGGUGAAAUUCGUAGAUAUUCGGAGGAACACCAGUGGCGAAGGCGGCUCACUGGCUCGAUACUGACGCUGAGGUGCGAAAGCCAGGGUAGCGAACG
RNAcentral lists this ribosomal RNA (207 nucleotides) under uncultured bacterium. RNAcentral describes it as "partial 16S ribosomal RNA". It matches the Rfam family "Bacterial small subunit ribosomal RNA", at positions 568 to 774 of the family's 1533-position model. The record is from RNAcentral.